CAAUAGCGUAUAUUUAAGUUGUUGCAGUUAAAAAGCUCGUAGUCGAAUUUCUGCCAGUCGCGGUAGGUCUGCCUUUCGGUGAGUACUUGCCAUGAUUGGCAUCUAUUCGAGGUUGGGCGUUGCACUUAAUUGUGUGGGUCUAAUUUCGGAGCUGAUACUUUGAGAAAAUUAGAGUGUUCCAAGCAGGCGCUUGCCUGAAUACUGCAGCAUGGGAUAUCGAGAUAAGACUUCGGUCCUAUCUUGUUGGUUCUCGGGAUUGAAGUAAUGGUUAAUAGGGAUAGUUGGGGGCAUUCGUAUUUAACUGUCAGAGGUGAAAUUCUUGGAUUUGUUAAAGACGAACUACUGCGAAAGCAUUUGCCAAGGAUGUUUNCAUUGA
Molecule: ribosomal RNA, 376 nt
Filed under: uncultured eukaryote
Lineage: Eukaryota
Description: partial 18S ribosomal RNA
Rfam family: Eukaryotic small subunit ribosomal RNA
Source: RNAcentral